Molecule: ribosomal RNA, 800 nt
Filed under: Verruconis gallopava
Lineage: Eukaryota; Fungi; Ascomycota; Dothideomycetes; Venturiales; Sympoventuriaceae
Description: eukaryotic LSU rRNA
Rfam family: Eukaryotic large subunit ribosomal RNA
Source: RNAcentral
GGGAUGCCUCAGUAACGGCGAGUGAAGCGGCAACAGCUCAAAUUUGAAAUCUGGCGCCUUGGGCGUCCGAGUUGUAAUUUGUAGAGGGAGUCUCGGGUUAAGGGUCGGUCCAAGUGCCUUGGAACAGGAUACCGAAGAGGGUGAGAGUCCCGUAUCCGGCCGACGCCAGCGCCCGUGUGAGGCCCCUUCGACGAGUCGAGUUGUUUGGGAAUGCAGCUCUAAAUGGGUGGUAAAUUCCAUCUAAAGCUAAAUACUGGCCAGAGACCGAUAGCGCACAAGUAGAGUGAUCGAAAGAUGAAAAGCACUUUGAAAAGAGAGUCAAACAGUACGUGAAAUUGUUGAAAGGGAAGCGUAUGUGGGCAGACUUGGACGCUGGAUUCAGGCCGCCUUCUGGCGGGUGUAUUUUCCAGCGGACAGGCCAGCAUCGGUUCUGAGGGCCGGACAAAGACGAAGGGAAUGUGGCUCCUCUCUGGGGAGUGUUAUAGCCCGGCGUGCAAUGCGGCCACUUGGGACCGAGGACCGCGCAUUUUGCAAGGAUGCUGGCGUAAUGGCCUCAUACGGCCCGUCUUGAAACACGGACCAAGGAGUCUAACAUCUAUGCGAGUGUUUGGGUGUCAAGCCCGGGCGCGCAAUGAAAGUGAACGGAGGUGGGAGUCUGUGUUAGAGCGGAUGCACCAUCGACCGAUCCUGAAGUAUUCGGAAGGAUUUGAGUAAGAGCAUAGCUGUUGGGACCCGAAAGAUGGUGAACUAUGCGUGAAUAGGGUGAAGCCAGAGGAAACUCUGGUGGAGGCUCGCAGCGG